UCAGGAAAUACAGGAAAUUUAAUUUUAAAAUUAGAAAAAGUUUUUAUUUAAUGGGAUUAAGGAGAGCAUUGGGUUAGUGCGGCUUAAAGAUGUAAGAAUGAGCGCAGAAUGGCAGCCUGCCAACAACGUAGAGUCAGCCUCUGGCUCUGUCCUCAAUGGAGACUGGGUGAGGGAUAGCAGGACUCUGAAUCCCAGAGGUCUGUAGAAGGGAGCUGCCCAGCCAAGAGCCAUGACUCUUAGAUUAGGAAGGAAUCUGGCAACCUUAAGACCUUGACAAUUAUGAAGAUAAAUUUGGCUAUUGGGAAUAAUGGUGAGACCACAUUGGCUCUUCUGUGUGACAGAGAAGCAACUCUAGAGAAGGAACCUGUUAGCUGAACUUGCGGCAACUAUCUGAUAAACCACUUACCGGAGACUCUGCAGCCAGAUGCCCCCAGGAGAGACUCAUCUGUGAUGUGGUUUUGAGAGCAUUCUAGUUUUCCAUGGUGCUUCCUCCUCCGAAUUCCAGUAACACCUUCUCUGUACUUUUCUUACAUUAUCCCGACUAAGGAAGGAGCAAAGGGUUCAGGGUUGGAAUUUCUGGAUUUAAGUUGGGUUGCUGCUCUAUUAUUGAUAAAUCUCCUCAUUCAGCUACAUGAGCUUCAGCGCUCUCCUUUAUAA
Long non-coding RNA from Tupaia belangeri chinensis (Chinese tree shrew), 657 nucleotides. RefSeq lists it as uncharacterized. The record is from RefSeq and is a predicted model, not a curated record. The transcript has 3 exons. Lineage: Eukaryota; Metazoa; Chordata; Mammalia; Scandentia; Tupaiidae.